GAUGAACGCUGGCGGCGUGCCUAAUACAUGCAAGUCGAGCGAACAGACGAGGAGCUUGCUCCUCUGACGUUAGCGGCGGACGGGUGAGUAACACGUGGAUAACCUACCUAUAAGACUGGGAUAACUUCAGGAAACCGGAGCUAAUACCGGAUAAUAUAUUGAACCGCAUGGUUCAAUAGUGAAAGACGGUUUUGCUGUCACUUAUAGAUGGAUCCGCGCCGCAUUAGCUAGUUGGUAAGGUAACGGCUUACCAAGGCAACGAUGCGUAGCCGACCUGAGAGGGUGAUCGGCCACACUGGAACUGAGACACGGUCCAGCCUCCUACGGGAGGCAGCAGUAGGGAAUCUUCCGCAAUGGGCGAAAGCCUGACGGAGCAACGCCGCGUGAGUGAUGAAGGUCUUCGGAUCGUAAAACUCUGUUAUUAGGGAAGAACAAAUGUGUAAGUAACUAUGCACGUCUUGACGGUACCUAAUCAGAAAGCCACGGCUAACUACGUG
This 497-nucleotide ribosomal RNA is filed under the name uncultured bacterium. RNAcentral's name for it is "partial 16S ribosomal RNA". It matches the Rfam family "Bacterial small subunit ribosomal RNA", at positions 28 to 507 of the family's 1533-position model. The record is from RNAcentral.